UGGGGAAUUGUUCGCAAUGGGCGCAAGCCUGACGACGCAACGCCGCGUGGAGGAUGAAGACCUUCGGGUCGUAAACUCCUUUCGAUCGAGACGAAUGGCCUCCGGGUGAACAAUCCGGAGGAGUGACGGUACCGAGAGAAGAAGCCCCGGCUAACUCCGUGCCAGCAGCCGCGGUAAGACAGAGGAUGCAAGCGUUAUCCGGAAUGAUUGGGCGUAAAGCGCGUGUAGGUGGCUUGGUAAGUCCGGUGUGAAACCUUGGGGCUCAACCCCAAGCCUGCAUCGGAUACUGCCUCGCUCGAGUUCGGGAGGGGAGAGCGGAAUUCCUAGUGUAGCGGUGAAAUGCGCAGAUAUUAGGAAGAACACCGGUGGCGAAGGCGGCUCUCUGGAACGAUACUGACACUGAGACGCGAAAGCGUGGGUAGCGAACAGGAUUAGAUACCCACGUAGUCCCUGAGCGGGCUGGCAAGGCGCAU
This 473-nucleotide ribosomal RNA is filed under the name uncultured bacterium. RNAcentral describes it as "bacterial SSU rRNA". It matches the Rfam family "Bacterial small subunit ribosomal RNA", at positions 355 to 825 of the family's 1533-position model. The record is from RNAcentral.